This 497-nucleotide ribosomal RNA is filed under the name uncultured bacterium. RNAcentral describes it as "partial 16S ribosomal RNA". It matches the Rfam family "Bacterial small subunit ribosomal RNA", at positions 28 to 507 of the family's 1533-position model. The record is from RNAcentral.
GAGGAAAGCUGGCGGCGUGCCUAAUACAUGCAAGUCGAGCGAACAGACGAGGAGCUUGCUCCUCUGACGUUAGCGGCGGACGGGUGAGUAACACGUGGAUAACCUACCUAUAAGACUGGGAUAACUUCGGGAAACCGGAACUAAUACCGGAUAAUAUAUUGAACCGCAUGGUUCAAUAGUGAAAGACGGUUUUGCUGUCACUUAUAGAUGGAUCCGCGCCGCAUUAGCUAGUUGGUAAGGUAACGGCUUACCAAGGCAACGAUGCGUAGCCGACCUGAGAGGGUGAUCGGCCACACUGGAACUGAGACACGGUCCAGACUCCUACGGGAGGCAGCAGUAGGGAAUCUUCCGCAAUGGGCGAAAGCCUGACGGAGCAACGCCGCGUGAGUGAUGAAGGUCUUCGGAUCGUAAAACUCUGUUAUUAGGGAAGAACAAAUGUGUAAGUAACUAUGCACGUCUUGACGGUACCUAAUCAGAAAGCCACGGCUAACUACGUG